This is a non-coding RNA of Mycena galopus ATCC 62051, 94 nucleotides long. The record is from the annotation of a GenBank genome assembly. Lineage: Eukaryota; Fungi; Basidiomycota; Agaricomycetes; Agaricales; Mycenaceae.
GCGUCCUUGGUGUAGCGGUUACACGCAUCCUAUUUGUGCUCGUGUAACACAACGUCUUUAGGAUGAGACCGGGGUUCGACUCCCCGAAGACGCA